RNAcentral lists this ribosomal RNA (492 nucleotides) under uncultured bacterium. Its description in RNAcentral is "partial 16S ribosomal RNA". It matches the Rfam family "Bacterial small subunit ribosomal RNA", at positions 29 to 507 of the family's 1533-position model. The record is from RNAcentral.
AGUGACCGCUCUCUUUCUUCCUAACACAUGCAAGUCGAACGGCAGCACAGUAAGAGCUUGCUCUUACGGGUGGCGAGUGGCGGACGGGUGAGGAAUACAUCGGAAUCUACUUUUUCGUGGGGGAUAACGUAGGGAAACUUACGCUAAUACCGCAUACGACCUACGGGUGAAAGCAGGGGAUCUUCGGACCUUGCGCGAUUGAAUGAGCCGAUGUCGGAUUAGCUAGUUGGCGGGGUAAAGGCCCACCAAGGCGACGAUCCGUAGCUGGUCUGAGAGGAUGAUCAGCCACACUGGAACUGAGACACGGUCCAGACUCCUACGGGAGGCAGCAGUGGGGAAUAUUGGACAAUGGGCGCAAGCCUGAUCCAGCCAUACCGCGUGGGUGAAGAAGGCCUUCGGGUUGUAAAGCCCUUUUGUUGGGAAAGAAAAGCAGCAGGUUAAUACCCCGCUGUUCUGACGGUACCCAAAGAAUAAGCACCGGCUAACUUCGUG